This 475-nucleotide long non-coding RNA is filed under the name Equus caballus (horse). Its description in RNAcentral is "lncRNA (ENSECAG00000056061.1)". Lineage: Eukaryota; Metazoa; Chordata; Mammalia; Perissodactyla; Equidae. The record is from RNAcentral.
GGACAGGCUCUAUUAGUCGUCAAUGUCACCUGUCUCUGACCUCCUCUGCAGUCACACCUCCCUCUGUGAUGACGGCCAGGACAGGCUCUCUGCUUUCAAGGACUCGCGUGAUUACAUGCGGCCCACCAAGUCUGAUCUGUUUAGUACACACGUUUGGAUCCGCAUGUGGGACCCCCUGGCGGACCUACACAAGCUUGCUCAAGAGCGCACCCACGAGAGGGCAUUUUCCAACCCGCAGCCAUAUGCGUUCCUGAUGCUAUGACACUGCCAGAUGGUGUCUCAGAAUGGCCAUCCUGGUUCUCAUGGCCACCAGCGUGUGAGAGCAUUGUCUGACCUCCCACUUACUCCUACCCCGAUGAGUGACUUCCUCGAACGCACCCUGGCACAUGUAACUACGUAUCCUGGCUUCGACAGCAGGGAUGGUGUCUUGCCUGCCCCCCUACUCUGGCCUCAACUGCACUGUGUCCCCUCUCUC